Pelobates cultripes (western spadefoot toad) is the source of this 229-nucleotide non-coding RNA. The record is from the annotation of a GenBank genome assembly. Lineage: Eukaryota; Metazoa; Chordata; Amphibia; Anura; Pelobatidae.
AAAAAAGUACAAUAUGGUUCAGUUAAUAUAGAAUAUCAGUCCAAGUCCAAAUAUAGAUAAUGAUGAAAGAAAAAUAUAAAUAAAAGUCAAUUAAGUCCUAUUCACAAUGUAAUGCUGGUAUAACUAGUAUAACUAGCCAAUACGUUGGUACAGGUAGCUCAGAGAGAGUAAUCCGGACAAGGCAUGGUCAGGAAUCCAGAAUAAACAAACUGAGAAAGUCACGUAAGAC